Amphiprion ocellaris (clown anemonefish) is the source of this 85-nucleotide small nucleolar RNA. Ensembl annotates it as Small nucleolar RNA SNORD35. The record is from Ensembl. Lineage: Eukaryota; Metazoa; Chordata; Actinopteri; Pomacentridae.
UGCAAAUGAUGUUUUUUCUCACGAUGGUCUUCCAAGUCCUCUGGGCUCUGACGACAAUGCCUAAUGGCAAUACUGAUGUGGUUGA